Molecule: long non-coding RNA, 371 nt
Filed under: Mytilus galloprovincialis (Mediterranean mussel)
Lineage: Eukaryota; Metazoa; Mollusca; Bivalvia; Mytilida; Mytilidae
Source: RNAcentral
CUCCGCAGGGCGCAGCUUUAUACGACCGCAGAGGUUGAACCCUGAACGGUUGGGGCAAGUAUGGACACAAUAUUCAAGCUGGAUUCAGCUCUAAAUUUGGAUUGUGAUUAAAUAGUUGACACAGCAUAGGUUUCUGACACAGAAUGAAUGUGGUCUAAUGAGCUUAAAAUAUUUUUUUUGCCUUUGAGCAAUUCACUAUGCUGUUGAAUAUUAAUCCUCUCAAAAAAAUGUUUGAAGAAAUUUUCUUUUUAUUCAUGAAAUCUGAAAUGAGAAAAAUUUAACCCCCCACCCCCAUUUGUUUUCACAUCCCCCUUUCCCUUUUUCCAAAACUGAUCUCAAUUCAAAUUUCUAAUGGAGUUUGCAACAAUAAC